UCCCUGGUGGCUCAGAUGGUAAAGCAUCUGCCUACGAUGCAGGAGACCCAGGUUCGAUCCCUGGGUUGGGAA
This 72-nucleotide transfer RNA is filed under the name Bos taurus (domestic cattle). It matches the Rfam family "tRNA". From Rfam's summary of the family: Transfer RNA (tRNA) molecules are approximately 80 nucleotides in length. Their secondary structure includes four short double-helical elements and three loops (D, anti-codon, and T loops). RNAcentral also lists the same sequence under 4 other names. The record is from Rfam by way of RNAcentral. Lineage: Eukaryota; Metazoa; Chordata; Mammalia; Artiodactyla; Bovidae.